Molecule: unclassified non-coding RNA, 253 nt
Filed under: uncultured Bacteroidota bacterium
Lineage: Bacteria; Pseudomonadati; Bacteroidota
Description: uncultured Bacteroidetes bacterium contains 16S-23S intergenic spacer region
Rfam family: Bacterial small subunit ribosomal RNA
Source: RNAcentral
UACGGAGGGUGCAAGCGUUGUCCGGAAUCAUUGGGUGUAAAGGGUGCGUAGGCGGGCUGCUAAGUCGGAGGUGAAAUCUUGCCGCUCAACGGUAAAAUGGCCUUCGAUACUGGCAGUCUUGAGUUCAGAAGAGGCCGGUGGAAUUUGUGGUGUAGCGGUGAAAUGCAUAGAGAUCACAAAGAACACCAGUGGCGAAGGCGGCCGGCUGGUCUGACACUGACGCUGAGGCACGAGAGCGUGGGGAGCGAACAGG